Molecule: ribosomal RNA, 1344 nt
Filed under: uncultured bacterium
Lineage: Bacteria
Description: 16S ribosomal RNA
Rfam family: Bacterial small subunit ribosomal RNA
Source: RNAcentral
GACGAACGCUGUGCGGCGUGCUUAACACAUGCAAGUCGAACGGAAAGGCCCUGCUUUUGUGGGGUGCUCGAGUGGCGAACGGGUGAGUAACACGUGAGUAACCUGCCCUUGACUUUGGGAUAACUUCAGGAAACUGGGGCUAAUACCGGAUAGGAGCUCCUGCUGCAUGGUGGGGGUUGGAAAGUUUCGGCGGUUGGGGAUGGACUCGCGGCUUAUCAGCUUGUUGGUGGGGUAGUGGCUUACCAAGGCUUUGACGGGUAGCCGGCCUGAGAGGGUGACCGGCCACAUUGGGACUGAGAUACGGCCCAGACUCCUACGGGAGGCAGCAGUGGGGAAUAUUGCACAAUGGGCGGAAGCCUGAUGCAACAACGCCGCGUGCGGGAUGACGGCCUUCGGGUUGUAAACCGCUUUCGCCUGUGACGAAGCGUGAGUGACGGUAAUGGGUAAAGAAGCACCGGCUAACUACGUGCCACCAGCCGCGGUGAUACGUAGGGUGCGAGCGUUGUCCGGAUUUAUUGGGCGUAAAGGGCUCGUAGGUGGUUGAUCGCGUCGGAAGUGUAAUCUUGGGGCUUAACCCUGAGCGUGCUUUCGAUACGGGUUGACUUGAGGAAGGUAGGGGAGAAUGGAAUUCCUGGUGGAGCGGUGGAAUGCGCAGAUAUCAGGAGGGACACCAGUGGCGAAGGCGGUUCUCUGGGCCUUUCCUGACGCUGAGGAGCGAAAGCGUGGGGAGCGAACAGGCUUAGAUACCCUGGUAGUCCACGCUGUAAACGGUGGGUACUAGGUGUGGGGUCCAUUCCACGGGUUCCGUGCCGUAGCUAACGCUUUAAGUACCCCGCCUGGGGAGUACGGCCGCAAGGCUAAAACUCAAAGGAAUUGACGGGGCCCCGCACAAGCGGCGGAGCAUGCGGAUUAAUUCGAUGCAACGCGUAGAACCUUACCUGGGUUUGACAUGGAUCGGGAGUGCUCAGAGAUGGGUGUGCCUCUUUUGGGGUCGGUUCACAGGUGGUGCAUGCCUGUCGUCAGCUCGUGUCGUGAGAUGUUGGGUUAAGUCCCGCAACGAGCGCAACCCUUGUUCACUGUUGCCAGCACGUUAUGGUGGGGACUCAGUGGAGACCGCCGGGGUCAACUCGGAGGAAGGUGGGGAUGACGUCAAGUCCUCAUGCCCCUUAUGUCCAGGGCUUCACGCAUGCUACAAUGGCUGGUACAGAGAGUGGCGAGCCUGUGAGGGUGAGCGAAUCUCGGAAAGCCGGUCUCAGUUCGGAUUGGGGUCUGCAACUCGACCUCAUGAAGUCGGAGUCGCUAGUAAUCGCAAAUCAGCAACGCUGCGGUGAAUCCGUUCCCGGG